This is a long non-coding RNA of Homo sapiens (human), 1740 nucleotides long. The record is from Ensembl. Lineage: Eukaryota; Metazoa; Chordata; Mammalia; Primates; Hominidae.
GGGCAGCCUGCUGUGCGGAGCUGGGGGAGGAGGAGGGAGCCCUGGGGGACAGACAGAAGGACCAUCGAAGGAGAAACCCUGCUGGCCUCGGGACCUGGAGGAAAGAACCAGGGCCCGUGCUCCUUGGGCCAGGAUCCGGCGAUUGGACGGAACCUCUCGGAUUCCCCAGUGCUGUGAAAUCCACUUGGGGCCAUCACACCCUUCAUUGCUGUGCUCCCUGGCAGAACUCGAAUGCAGCGUGAGCUGGGCACUUUUCCCAGGGUUUGCUCUAGGUCUGGGUCUCCCAUCAGCUCCCCCGGAGCAGAGCCUGAGGCAAGGAUUCUUGUUCGGGGGCAUCUUCCUCUCAGCACCGUGCUUUGGGAAUCGAGUGAUGGUGCUGAGUGAACCCCUGAGUGAACAUCUGUGGCUUCCUCCCACCUCGUCUCUGGAUGCACUCCUGUUCGAAUGGGUGUCUGUACAUGCUUGUCCCCUCCCCACGGUGGCGUGCUCAAUGGUGGCUCCCCACAGAUAUGUCCGUGUCCUAAUUCCCGGAGCCUUUGGGUCUCAUGUAGCCAAUGAUGUGAAAAAGUGAAGGAUGCUGAGAGGAGAUCAUCCAGAUGUCUUAGAGGAUAAAAAUGAGCGGGCAGAUGAAGAGAUACUCAGGGUGAGGUUUGGAAGGUGCACCAGGCCCACCCCAUGGAUGUGGCUCAGAGAGCCUGGGAAACGUGAGGUCUGUGACCUGGAUCAGGCCCAGAGAGACCUGAGCAGGAGGCGUGUGAAGCCCCUGCGCCUGUGCGAGGAGGGAAGCUGUUUCAGGGAAUUUGCCUUUCUUUCCCUGUAGUUUCAGACUAGCUGAUAAAUUACCUAAAAUGUUACCACAAGAUGCACAAUGUAACCAUCACUCAUUAUCUUCAUGUUCCUGGAAUUUUUUUUUUUUUUUUGAGAUAGAGUGUAGCCUCAUGGCAGCCUCAACCUCCUGGGCUCAAGUUGUCAGAGGCGUGUGAACCAGAGCAACUCCAUCUUGAAUGGGGCUGCGUAAAAUGAAGCUGAGACCUGUGGGGCUGCAUUCCCAGACCGCUGUGGCAUUCUGAGUCACAGGGUGAGACAGGAGGUCAGCACAAGAUACAGGUCAUAAAGACCUUGCUGAUAAAACAGGUUGCAGCAAAGGAGCCGUCCAAAUCCCACCAAAACCAAGAUGGUGACAAGAGUGACCUCUGGCCGUCCUCACUGCCACACUCCCACCAGCCGUGACAGUUUACAGAUGCCAUGGCAACCUCAGGAAGUCACCAUAUAUGGUCUAAAAAGGGGAGGUAUGAAUAAUCCACCCCUUGUUUAGCAUAUCAUCAAGAAAUAACCACAAAAACGGAGAACCAGCAGUCCUCGGGGCUGCUUUGUCUAUGGAGUAGCCAUUCUUUUUUUUUUUUUCGAGAUGGAGUCUCGCUCUGUUGCCUGGGCUGGAGUGCGGUGGCAUGAUCUUGGCUCACUGCAACCUCUGCCUCCUGGGUUUAAGUGAUUCUCCUGCCUCAGCCGAGCUGAGUAGCUGGGCUUACAGGCACCCACCACCAUGCCCGGCUAAUUUUUUGUAUUUUUAGUAAAGCCAGGGUUUCAUUAUACUAGCCAGGCUGGUCUCGAACUCCUGACCUCAUGACCUGCCUGCCUCAGCUUCCCAAAGUACUGGGAUUACCGGUGUGAACCACCGUGCCCAGCCAGAGUAGCCAUUCUUUACUCCUUUACUUUCCUAAUAAACUUCCUUUCACUUUA